Molecule: ribosomal RNA, 274 nt
Filed under: uncultured bacterium
Lineage: Bacteria
Description: partial 16S ribosomal RNA
Rfam family: Bacterial small subunit ribosomal RNA
Source: RNAcentral
AUACGGAGGGUGCAAGCGUUAUCCGGAUUUAUUGGGUUUAAAGGGUGCGCAGGCGGACCUGUCAGUCAGUGGUGAAAUCCCGGGGCUCAACCCCGGAACUGCCAUUGAUACUACAGGUCUUGAAUACGGUUGAAGUAGGCGGAAUGUAGCAUGUAGCGGUGAAAUGCAUAGAUAUGCUACAGAACACUGAUCGCGAAGGCAGCUUACUAAGCCGAUAUUGACGCUCAGGCACGAAAGCGUGGGGAGCGAACAGGAUUAGAAACCCUAGUAGUCC